CAUUGUGAAGCUUUAAGCGUUAACCUUUUAAGUUAAAGUCAGGGAUCGUAAAUCUCCACAAUGA
This 64-nucleotide transfer RNA is filed under the name Chiromyscus chiropus. Its description in RNAcentral is "tRNA-Lys". Lineage: Eukaryota; Metazoa; Chordata; Mammalia; Rodentia; Muridae. The record is from RNAcentral.